This 308-nucleotide long non-coding RNA is filed under the name Olea europaea subsp. europaea. Lineage: Eukaryota; Viridiplantae; Streptophyta; Magnoliopsida; Lamiales; Oleaceae. The record is from RNAcentral.
GAGAAUUAAUUGUUGGGGACAAAUAGACUGGUAAAACAGCAGUAGCAAUAGAUACGAUUCUCAAUCAACAAGGUCAAAAUGUAAUAAGUGUUUAUAUAGCUAUUGGUCAAAAAGCAUCUUCUGUGGCUCAGGUAAUAACUACUUUACAGGAAAGGGGGCGAUGGAAUACACUAUCGUGGUAGCCGAAACGAUGGAUUCCCCUGUUACAUUACAAUACCUUGCUUCUUAUACAUGAGCAGCUUUGGCUAAAUAUUUUAUAUACUGUAAACGACGCACUUUAAUCAUUUAUGAUGAUCUAUCCAAACAAG